Molecule: ribosomal RNA, 482 nt
Filed under: uncultured bacterium
Lineage: Bacteria
Description: partial 16S ribosomal RNA
Rfam family: Bacterial small subunit ribosomal RNA
Source: RNAcentral
AAUGAACGUUGGCGGCGUGGAUUAGGCAUGCAAGUCGAGCGAGAACCGUAGCAAUACGGGGACAGCGGCGAAAGGGACAGUAAUGUGUAGGUACCUACCCCUGGGUUCGGGAUAGCUGCGGGAGACUGCAGGUAAUACCGAAUAAUGUCUACGGACCAAAGGUGUGAUUCCACCUGGGGAGGGGCCUGCAUCCUAUUAGCUUGUUGGCGGGGUAACGGCCUACCAAGGCAACGAUGGGUAGCGGGUGUGAGAGCACGACCCGCGUCAUUGGGACUGAGAUACUGCCCAGACACCUACGGGUGGCUGCAGUCGAGGAUCUUCGGCAAUGGGCGAAAGCCUGACCGAGCGACGCCGCGUGCGGGAUGAAGGCCUUCGGGUUGUAAACCGCUGUCGUUGGGGAGGAAGUGCAGGGGGGUUCUCCCCUCUGUUUGACCUAUCCAAGGAGGAAGUACGGGCUAAGUUCGUGCCAGCAGCCGCCGAAA